AUACGAAGGGGGCUAGCGUUGUUCGGAUUUACUGGGCGUAAAGCGCACGUAGGCGGAUUGACAAGUUAGGGGAGAAAUCCCGAGGCUCAACCUCGGAACUGCCUCUAAAACUGUCAAUCUCGAGACCGGAAGAGGUGAGUGGAACUCCUAGUGUAGAGGUGGAAUUCGUAGAUAUUAGGAAGAACACCAGUGGCGAAGGCGGCUCACUGGUCCGGUACUGACGCUGAGGUGCGAAAGCGUGGGGAGCAAACAGGAUUAGAAACCCUAGUAGUCC
This 274-nucleotide ribosomal RNA is filed under the name uncultured bacterium. Its description in RNAcentral is "partial 16S ribosomal RNA". It matches the Rfam family "Bacterial small subunit ribosomal RNA", at positions 523 to 796 of the family's 1533-position model. The record is from RNAcentral.